UCCAGGAGCUAAAUGCAGAUUGCAUCUAGGCAUACUUCCUUCAGCCAGCUGUUGAGGGUUUUAAAGUGCAAGGGUUCAGCAUUUGUACAGCGUAUUUUCUGCGAACUCAAUGAUGCCGUAUUAAGCAGGCACUUGGAGUGUGCUUCCAGAGUUGCAUUUUUCAGCAGCACAGCCGGGUGUUUAGGAGAGUGAUGACCGUAAUGAGGCUGAAGUAGUUUGAUGUGUUCACAGCUUUAUGAAGGUGGUUGUAUGGAUAGUCGAUACUCCAGGAAGACACAUGCUGAUAUUUCAGUAUGAUUAACACUGGCAACAGACAGGCUACUCUUCAAGAAGCAGCGCCUGUGGAGGAGUAAGAUGCUGUCUGAAAACAUGCAGCCUUGGAUGCACAUGACCCACCAGCCUUCUACUCCUGCUGCUAAGCCUUCCCAAAUUGUGAUGGAAAGACUCCCUUGAACUAGAAGCCAAAAUAAGCCUGUAUUCCCUACGUUGCUUCCUGGUCAAGGAUUUUGCCACAGCAAUGAAAAAAGUAACAAAUACUGAUUCCGAAGAAAAUGAGAAAGCUCUAUAGACAAAAGAGGAAAUCUGACUAGCAUUCUUAGCGAAUUAAGGGACAUGAAUCGUAUACCCAUCAGAGAAAAAGACUCUCAAAGUGUACACAUUCGCCACUCUAUCUGAAGAAAACUGUUGAUAAAAUCUUGUAAACUUGGCAUCUAAUGCGGAAAGUUCUUGAGGAGGAUGAGGAUUUCAACUCUCAACAACAACAUCUAACAAAACAUUUUCUGCAAAGAUUUAAAAAUAUGUUUCCAUAAGGAAAAAGAACUUCAUCAGGAAUAGCUAGUUAUGUGUAACUUCUUUUAUUAGUAUUCAUUAGUGUCUCUCACUUGAAAACAUGCCAAUUAGUAUUGUUGUUGUGCCUGCUUUUAAAAAACUAUUUUUUUAAAGCUGCAGUUAAAAUUUAAAGCUACAGUUAAUGACAGUGGCAUUUAAACACAAAGUGUUUCUAACAGCAAAGAAAAAAAUUCCUUACAUUUUUCAAAGCAAUUUUCUUUGUAUUGCCUCACUAUUUGGAAAUCAUGACAAAAUAUUGUUAAUGUAGUUUCUUAUUUUCUGAACUCAUAUAAGGAUUGGUUGUUUGGAAGAGGUCCCAUAUAGGCUGCACAGUGAACUCUUCCUACACAGCAUACAGGCCCUGCGGGGAAGGAAUGUACCUUCUACAUGGUCACCCAUGUUCUGGUUCAUAUUGUUAGUGAUGUCUAAAGUCCAGAUGAGUUUGUGGAGAGGCCUUUUGGGUUGUAGCACUUAAUUUCCUGUCAUACAUUUUGUGUUUCUUCAAAGCUUUCAAUAAAACAUUGACAACUGAGA
This is a long non-coding RNA of Mus musculus (house mouse), 1362 nucleotides long. RefSeq annotates it as predicted gene, 31218. The record is from RefSeq and is a predicted model, not a curated record. The transcript is spliced from 3 exons. NCBI's taxonomy places the organism in Eukaryota, Metazoa, Chordata, Mammalia, Rodentia, Muridae.